AAAUCGCCAACCGCAAACACGGUUAAGGGCGAAUUCGGCCGACGAAAGGAAAUUGCCCAAGUGUGUUGACCACUACGGCUCAACCUUCACAGUUGUGGGAAAAGAAAUGAAUGGGAUAAAAAGCUCGUAUUUUUUAUUUUUCCAAGUAAAACAAAUUGGACCCCCGAGGAAACUAGAACCGUCUAUCUGAUUCCGAAUUGUCUCGAAUUUUUCUUGAUUCUAACGGAAUCCAUGACAGACAUUACAACACAGCUGCACAACCCCCUAAAGUUCGAGAUGUGCCAAGAAUAGACGUCACUGACGCAACAACACCGGAAAUGCCGAAAUAUUUUCCACCCAUAACAAAAAACCACGCACACGCUGCCUUCUUCUAGACUCUAUACAAGUUAAGAAUAGAAGAAAAAAAAAACUUUUUUCUAAUUGGGUAAAAAGGAAUGUGACAGUAGUAGUCGCUCCAAAUAUAGAAAUGAAAUAAAAAUCCCUUUCAAAUUUUUGUUUCUUUCAAACAUUUUUGUCAAACACAUAUUUUUGUAUUGCGCACAAGCUGCGUGAAAAUAUUUUCCCAGUUUUAGUUUUUAAUUUUUUUCAAAACGGGAGCGAGAGGGAAACUUGCGGGAGUUGAAGGCUCCUGCGGCUAGGAGCUCGUGAGUUGACCUCAAUAGCUAAAAGCGCGCAGCUCUUUCGCAAGUCGACGACACACGUUGGUAAGAGAAAA
Long non-coding RNA from Daphnia pulex (common water flea), 715 nucleotides. RefSeq lists it as uncharacterized. The record is from RefSeq and is a predicted model, not a curated record. The transcript is spliced from 2 exons. NCBI's taxonomy places the organism in Eukaryota, Metazoa, Arthropoda, Branchiopoda, Diplostraca, Daphniidae.